This 23-nucleotide non-coding RNA is filed under the name Cricetulus griseus (Chinese hamster). Lineage: Eukaryota; Metazoa; Chordata; Mammalia; Rodentia; Cricetidae. The record is from RNAcentral.
UACAAUGUGGAGGGAGGCUAAGG